GAAAUGCGAUAAGUGGUGUGAAUAGCAGAAUUCAGUGAAUCAUCGAAGCUUUGAACGCACAUUGCGCCCGCUUGCACUCUGGCGGGCGUGCCAGUUCGAGCGUCGUUGCAACCAUCAAGCCCCCGGGCUUGCGUUGGGGACCUGCGGCUGCCCGCAGGCCCUGAAAACCAGUGGCGGGCUCGCUGUCACCCCGGUCGUAGUAGUAUCAUCUCGUCCAGGGCGUGGCUGCGGGCUCCGGUCGUUAAACCUUCUCAAACCCAAAGGUUGACCUCGGAUCAGGUAAGAAUACCCGGUAAACUUAA
Molecule: unclassified non-coding RNA, 302 nt
Filed under: uncultured Sordariomycetes
Lineage: Eukaryota; Fungi; Ascomycota; Sordariomycetes
Description: sequence contains ITS1
Rfam family: 5.8S ribosomal RNA (bases 1-105)
Source: RNAcentral